RNAcentral lists this ribosomal RNA (384 nucleotides) under uncultured bacterium. RNAcentral describes it as "bacterial SSU rRNA". It matches the Rfam family "Bacterial small subunit ribosomal RNA", at positions 30 to 416 of the family's 1533-position model. The record is from RNAcentral.
AUUGAACGCUGGCGGCAUGCCUUACACAUGCAAGUCGAACGGUAACGGGUCCUUCGGGUGCCGACGAGUGGCGAACGGGUGAGUAAUAUAUCGGAACGUGCCCAGUAGUGGGGGAUAACUGCUCGAAAGAGCAGCUAAUACCGCAUACGACCUGAGGGUGAAAGGGGGGAGUCGCAAGACCUCUCGCUAUUGGAGCGGCCGAUAUCAGAUUAGCUAGUUGGUGGGGUAAAGGCCUACCAAGGCAACGAUCUGUAGUUGGUCUGAGAGGACGACCAGCCACACUGGGACUGAGACACGGCCCAGACUCCUACGGGAGGCAGCAGUGGGGAAUUUUGACAAUGGGCGCAAGCCUGAUCCAGCAAUGCCGCGUGCAGGAAGAAGGCC